This 158-nucleotide non-coding RNA is filed under the name Rhodospirillaceae bacterium. RNAcentral's name for it is "6S RNA". It matches the Rfam family "6S / SsrS RNA". Rfam says of the family: E. coli 6S RNA was the first non coding RNA to be sequenced, but its function was unknown until recently. It consists of 184 nucleotides that fold into an extended hairpin structure with a large single-stranded internal bulge. The 6S RNA specifically associates with RNA polymerase holoenzyme containing the sigma70 specificity factor. The record is from RNAcentral. RNAcentral also lists the same sequence under 1 other name. Lineage: Bacteria; Pseudomonadati; Pseudomonadota; Alphaproteobacteria; Rhodospirillales; Rhodospirillaceae.
UGUUUGCUGCCUUGUGCGUCAGGGACUAUAUCCCCAGGGCCGAUGAUCUUCGUAUAGGGAGCUGUUCCUUGGCUAGGCCGUGGUCUGGCUGAUACGGCACCCACCUGUUUUACAGGGCCGCGGAGGAUCUUUUACCCAACGGCUAUGGUGGCAAACAU